RNAcentral lists this ribosomal RNA (2314 nucleotides) under Staphylococcus aureus. Its description in RNAcentral is "partial 23S ribosomal RNA". It matches the Rfam family "Bacterial large subunit ribosomal RNA", at positions 587 to 2904 of the family's 2925-position model. The record is from RNAcentral. Lineage: Bacteria; Bacillati; Bacillota; Bacilli; Caryophanales; Staphylococcaceae.
UAAUGGGUGAUGGCGUGCCUUUUGUAGAAUGAACCGGCGAGUUACGAUUUGAUGCAAGGUUAAGCAGUAAAUGUGGAGCCGUAGCGAAAGCGAGUCUGAAUAGGGCGUUUAGUAUUUGGUCGUAGACCCGAAACCAGGUGAUCUACCCUUGGUCAGGUUGAAGUUCAGGUAACACUGAAUGGAGGACCGAACCGACUUACGUUGAAAAGUGAGCGGAUGAACUGAGGGUAGCGGAGAAAUUCCAAUCGAACCUGGAGAUAGCUGGUUCUCUCCGAAAUAGCUUUAGGGCUAGCCUCAAGUGAUGAUUAUUGGAGGUAGAGCACUGUUUGGACGAGGGGCCCCUCUCGGGUUACCGAAUUCAGACAAACUCCGAAUGCCAAUUAAUUUAACUUGGGAGUCAGAACAUGGGUGAUAAGGUCCGUGUUCGAAAGGGAAACAGCCCAGACCACCAGCUAAGGUCCCAAAAUAUAUGUUAAGUGGAAAAGGAUGUGGCGUUGCCCAGACAACUAGGAUGUUGGCUUAGAAGCAGCCAUCAUUUAAAGAGUGCGUAAUAGCUCACUAGUCGAGUGACACUGCGCCGAAAAUGUACCGGGGCUAAACAUAUUACCGAAGCUGUGGAUUGUCCUUUGGACAAUGGUAGGAGAGCGUUCUAAGGGCGUUGAAGCAUGAUCGUAAGGACAUGUGGAGCGCUUAGAAGUGAGAAUGCCGGUGUGAGUAGCGAAAGACGGGUGAGAAUCCCGUCCACCGAUUGACUAAGGUUUCCAGAGGAAGGCUCGUCCGCUCUGGGUUAGUCGGGUCCUAAGCUGAGGCCGACAGGCGUAGGCGAUGGAUAACAGGUUGAUAUUCCUGUACCACCUAUAAUCGUUUUAAUCGAUGGGGGGACGCAGUAGGAUAGGCGAAGCGUGCGAUUGGAUUGCACGUCUAAGCAGUAAGGCUGAGUAUUAGGCAAAUCCGGUACUCAUUAAGGCUGAGCUGUGAUGGGGAGAAGACAUUGUGUCUUCGAGUCGUUGAUUUCACACUGCCGAGAAAAGCCUCUAGAUAGAAAAUAGGUGCCCGUACCGCAAACCGACACAGGUAGUCAAGAUGAGAAUUCUAAGGUGAGCGAGCGAACUCUCGUUAAGGAACUCGGCAAAAUGACCCCGUAACUUCGGGAGAAGGGGUGCUCUUUAGGGUUAACGCCCAGAAGAGCCGCAGUGAAUAGGCCCAAGCGACUGUUUAUCAAAAACACAGGUCUCUGCUAAACCGUAAGGUGAUGUAUAGGGGCUGACGCCUGCCCGGUGCUGGAAGGUUAAGAGGAGUGGUUAGCUUCUGCGAAGCUACGAAUCGAAGCCCCAGUAAACGGCGGCCGUAACUAUAACGGUCCUAAGGUAGCGAAAUUCCUUGUCGGGUAAGUUCCGACCCGCACGAAAGGCGUAACGAUUUGGGCACUGUCUCAACGAGAGACUCGGUGAAAUCAUAGUACCUGUGAAGAUGCAGGUUACCCGCGACAGGACGGAAAGACCCCGUGGAGCUUUACUGUAGCCUGAUAUUGAAAUUCGGCACAGCUUGUACAGGAUAGGUAGGAGCCUUUGAAACGUGAGCGCUAGCUUACGUGGAGGCGCUGGUGGGAUACUACCCUAGCUGUGUUGGCUUUCUAACCCGCACCACUUAUCGUGGUGGGAGACAGUGUCAGGCGGGCAGUUUGACUGGGGCGGUCGCCUCCUAAAAGGUAACGGAGGCGCUCAAAGGUUCCCUCAGAAUGGUUGGAAAUCAUUCAUAGAGUGUAAAGGCAUAAGGGAGCUUGACUGCGAGACCUACAAGUCGAGCAGGGUCGAAAGACGGACUUAGUGAUCCGGUGGUUCCGCAUGGAAGGGCCAUCGCUCAACGGAUAAAAGCUACCCCGGGGAUAACAGGCUUAUCUCCCCCAAGAGUUCACAUCGACGGGGAGGUUUGGCACCUCGAUGUCGGCUCAUCGCAUCCUGGGGCUGUAGUCGGUCCCAAGGGUUGGGCUGUUCGCCCAUUAAAGCGGUACGCGAGCUGGGUUCAGAACGUCGUGAGACAGUUCGGUCCCUAUCCGUCGUGGGCGUAGGAAAUUUGAGAGGAGCUGUCCUUAGUACGAGAGGACCGGGAUGGACAUACCUCUGGUGUACCAGUUGUCGUGCCAACGGCAUAGCUGGGUAGCUAUGUGUGGACGGGAUAAGUGCUGAAAGCAUCUAAGCAUGAAGCCCCCCUCAAGAUGAGAUUUCCCAACUUCGGUUAUAAGAUCCCUCAAAGAUGAUGAGGUUAAUAGGUUCGAGGUGGAAGCAUGGUGACAUGUGGAGCUGACGAAUACUAA